RNAcentral lists this ribosomal RNA (253 nucleotides) under uncultured bacterium. RNAcentral describes it as "partial 16S ribosomal RNA". It matches the Rfam family "Bacterial small subunit ribosomal RNA", at positions 524 to 775 of the family's 1533-position model. The record is from RNAcentral.
UACGAAGGGGGCUAGCGUUGUUCGGAAUUACUGGGCGUAAAGGGCGCGCAGGCGGCAGAUCAAGUCAGACGUGAAAGCCCCGGGCUUAACCUGGGAACUGCGUUUGGGACUGGUUUGCUAGAGAUCGGGAGAGGAGAGUGGAAUUCCCAGUGUAGAGGUGAAAUUCGUAGAUAUUGGGAAGAACACCGGUGGCGAAGGCGGCUCUCUGGACCGAUACGUGACGCUGAGGCGCGAAAGCGUGGGGAGCAACAGG